RNAcentral lists this ribosomal RNA (581 nucleotides) under Cinnamomum sp. van der Werff 14396. RNAcentral's name for it is "eukaryotic LSU rRNA". It matches the Rfam family "Eukaryotic large subunit ribosomal RNA", at positions 73 to 647 of the family's 3401-position model. The record is from RNAcentral. Lineage: Eukaryota; Viridiplantae; Streptophyta; Magnoliopsida; Laurales; Lauraceae.
GAUUCCCCUAGUAACGGCGAGCGAACCGGGAGCAGCCCAGCUUGAGAAUCGGGCGGCCCCGCCGCCUGAAUUGUAGUCUGUAGAAGCGUCCUCAGCGACGGACCGGGCCCAAGUCCACUGGAAAGUGGCGCCGGAGAGGGUGAGAGCCCCGUCGUGCCCGGACCCUGCCGCACCACGAGGCGCUGUCGGCGAGUCGGGUUGUUUGGGAAUGCAGCCCCAAUCGGGCGGUAAAUUCCGUCCAAGGCUAAAUACCGGCGAGAGACCGAUAGCGAACAAGUACCGCGAGGGAAAGAUGAAAAGGACUUUGAAAAGAGAGUCAAAGAGUGCUUGAAAUUGUCGGGAGGGAAGCGGAUGGGGGCCGGCGAUGCGCCUCGGUCGGAAGCGGAACGGCGUCCAGCCGGUCCGCCACUCGACUCGGGGCGUGGACCGUUGCGGGUCGCGGCGGCGGCCUAAGCCCUCGCGGAUGAUCCCGCGCGCGGAGACGCCGUCGCCUCGACCGGGGAAAGUCAGCACGCGCCGCGUCGGCGUGCCUCACGGCACCAGCGUGCUCUCGGCAAACGGCCUGCGGGCCCCCCAUUCGG